GGUGUCUAUGGGCCAUGGGCGGCGGUAAGACGUGGGUGGCAAAGUGUGGUGGGAAUUACUGGGUGUAAAGGGGGUGCAGGGGGCAGGGCAUGGCGGAUGUGAAAUCCCGUGGCUCAACCACGGAAGUGCACCCGAAACUGCCCAGCUUGAGUCUCGGAGAGGAAGGCGGAAUGCUUGGUGUAGAGGUGAAAUUCGUAGAUAUCAAGCGGAACACCGGUGGCGAAGGCGGCCUUCUGGACGAUGACUGACGCUGAGACGCGAAAGCGUGGGGAGCAAACAGGAUUAGAUACCCGAGUAGUC
Molecule: ribosomal RNA, 300 nt
Filed under: uncultured Thermotoga sp.
Lineage: Bacteria; Thermotogati; Thermotogota; Thermotogae; Thermotogales; Thermotogaceae
Description: bacterial SSU rRNA
Rfam family: Bacterial small subunit ribosomal RNA
Source: RNAcentral